GAGAAUAGCAUGUGCAAAGGUCCAGAGGUCAGAGAGAAGUUGUAGCAGAGUGUCAGAUGAGGUUUUCUGUUGAUCAGAAAUUUGAGAAGGACUGAGCUGGAUGGUUCUUGCUUGGGGUCUUUCAGGAGGCCACAGUCUGAUGCAGGCUGGGGCUGCAGUCAUCUGAAGGAAGGUCCAUCUCUGUCUACAGCCACACCACCCUGAGCGCGCCGGAUCUCAUCUGAAGGAAGGUCCAUUUCUAUAGUUACUCACUCAUGUAACUGACAAAGUGGUGCUGGCUGAAGGCUGGCUGCCUCCGGGCCUCUCUGCAUGGACCUUUCUAAGGAGCUGCUUAGAGCGUCCUCAUGACAUGACAGCUGUCUUUCGCCACGUGAGUGUAUCCAAGAGGCCAAGGUGGAAGCUACCAUGCCUUUCAUAACCCAGCCUUGGAAGUGACACACCUUCACUCCCACUGUAUUCUUGUGGUUGUGGCAACUACAUAGGUUUGUCUGGGUUCAAGGGGAGGAAGUGGACCCUACCUUUCAUUGUAUGAGUGCUACCAUCACACUGUAAGAAGAGCAUGAGAAAUGGGACAGAUCAGUACUUCCAUCUUUAGAAAAUAUAAUCUGCCAUACACCA
This is a long non-coding RNA of Hyaena hyaena (striped hyena), 618 nucleotides long. RefSeq lists it as uncharacterized. Lineage: Eukaryota; Metazoa; Chordata; Mammalia; Carnivora; Hyaenidae. The record is from RefSeq and is a predicted model, not a curated record. The transcript is spliced from 2 exons.